CUAACAAGGAUUCCCCUAGUAACGGCGAGUGAAGCGGGAUGAGCUCACCAUGUGAAUCUGCGCAACCAGCAAUGGUGCGCCGAAUUGUGGUCUGAAGAAGUAUUGUCGGCCGCGAGUCCGGGUUAACUGUAUUGGAAAAUACGGCCUGUGAGGGUGAAAGCCCCGUUCAUGCCUGGACUUGUUGCGCUHUGGCACAUGCUUUCUACGAGUCGAGUUGCUUGGGAUUGCAGCUCAAAUUUGGUGGUAAAUUCCAUCUAAAGCUAAAUAUUGGUGUGACACCGAUAGUGUACAAGUACCGUGAGGGAWAGAUGCAAAGAACUUUGAAAAGAGAGUUAAAGAGUACCUGAAAUUGUUAAAAGGGAAGCGAAGGAAUCCAGUGUAAAGCGAAGCCAUUCUUCUCAAGCCACUUGUGGUUUGGGCGCUGUGGUUAGCUGUACUAAUUCUGGGCUUGACCUGGGGCAUACGUUCUUCGAGUAGACGACUCUUCGGAGUGAGUGCUCGUUUUUCAUAUCCUGGGUCGGGCUGAGGUCAGUCACUCUGUGCUCGUGAUGAAUUAGGAAAUGGAUUUCUUUACCCCGUCUUGAAACACGGACCAAGGAGUCUAACAUAUGUGCAAGUACGUCAGUGGCAAACUGAUAUGCGUAAUGAAAGUAACAGUGGUAGGAACACUUCGGGUGCACUAUCCGCCGGCCAUAAUCCUUCGGGAGAAAGGUCUGAGUGUGAGCAUACAUGUUGGGACCCGAAAGAUGGUGAACUAUGCCUGAAUAGGGCGAAGCCAGGGGAAAC
This 786-nucleotide ribosomal RNA is filed under the name Skeletonema pseudocostatum. Its description in RNAcentral is "LSU rRNA". It matches the Rfam family "Eukaryotic large subunit ribosomal RNA", at positions 65 to 862 of the family's 3401-position model. Lineage: Eukaryota; Bacillariophyta; Thalassiosirophyceae; Thalassiosirales; Thalassiosiraceae. The record is from RNAcentral.